RNAcentral lists this ribosomal RNA (436 nucleotides) under uncultured bacterium. RNAcentral's name for it is "partial 16S ribosomal RNA". It matches the Rfam family "Bacterial small subunit ribosomal RNA", at positions 28 to 507 of the family's 1533-position model. The record is from RNAcentral.
GACGAACGCUGGCGGCAUGCCUAACACAUGCAAGUCGAACGAUGGUCUUCUGAUCAUAGGGUCCCACGGGUGCGUAACGCGUGGGAAUCUGCCCUUGGGUUCGGAAGAACAUUUGGAAACGACUGCUAAUACCGGAUGAUUUCGAUAAGACCAAAGAUUUAUGGCCCGAGGAUGAGACCGCGUCGGGUUAGCUAGUUGGUUGGGUACAGGCCUACCAAGGCGACGAUCCGUAGCUGGUCUGAGAGGAGGAUCAGCCACACUGGGACUGAGACACGGCCCAGACUCCUGCGGGAGGCAGCAGAGGGGAAUAUUGGACAAUGGGCGCAAGCCUGAUACAGCAAUGCCGCGUGAGUGAUGAAGGCGUUAGGGUUGUAAAGCUCUUUUACCCGGGAAGAUAAUGACUGUACCGGGAGAAUAAGCCCCGGCUAACUACGUG